GAUGAACGCUGGCGGCGUGCCUAACACAUGCAAGUCGAGCGAUUCUCUUCGGAGAAGAGCGGCGGACGGGUGAGUAACGCGUGGGUAACCUGCCUCAUACACAUGGAUAACAUACCGAAAGGUAUGCUAAUACAGGAUAACAUAAGAGAUUCGCAUGUUUCUCUUAUCAAAGCUCCGGCGGUAUGAGAUGGACCCGCGUCUGAUUAGCUAGUUGGUAAGGUAAUGGCUUACCAAGGCGACGAUCAGUAGCCGACCUGAGAGGGUGAUCGGCCACAUUGGAACUGAGACACGGUCCAA
This 297-nucleotide ribosomal RNA is filed under the name uncultured bacterium. Its description in RNAcentral is "partial 16S ribosomal RNA". It matches the Rfam family "Bacterial small subunit ribosomal RNA", at positions 28 to 334 of the family's 1533-position model. The record is from RNAcentral.